RNAcentral lists this ribosomal RNA (428 nucleotides) under uncultured soil bacterium. RNAcentral describes it as "bacterial SSU rRNA". It matches the Rfam family "Bacterial small subunit ribosomal RNA", at positions 963 to 1393 of the family's 1533-position model. The record is from RNAcentral.
GAAGAACCUUACCAGAUCUUGACAUCCUCUGACAAUCCAGGAAACUGGACGUUCCCUUCGGGGACAGAGUGACAGGUGGUGCAUGGUUGUCGUCAGCUCGUGUCGUGAGAUGUUGGGUUAAGUCCCGUAACGAGCGCAACCCUUAUUGUUAGUUGCCAGCAUUCAGUUGGGCACUCUAGCGAGACUGCCGGUGAUAAACCGGAGGAAGGUGGGGAUGACGUCAAAUCAUCAUGCCCCUUAUGAUCUGGGCUACACACGUGCUACAAUGGAUGGUACAACGAGUUGCGAGACCGCGAGGUUCAGCUAAUCUCCUAAAGCCAUUCUCAGUCCGGAUUGCAGGCUGCAACUCGCCUGCAUGAAGCCGGAAUCGCUAGUAAUCGCGGAUCAGAACGCCGCGGUGAAUACGUUCCCGGGUCUUGUACACACGC